Long non-coding RNA from Oncorhynchus gorbuscha (pink salmon), 671 nucleotides. RefSeq lists it as uncharacterized. The record is from RefSeq and is a predicted model, not a curated record. The transcript has 2 exons. NCBI's taxonomy places the organism in Eukaryota, Metazoa, Chordata, Actinopteri, Salmoniformes, Salmonidae.
UCAGAUGGUAUUGGUCGCGUAUUCAGCAGAUGGUAUUGGUCAGAUGGUAUUGGUCAGAUGGUAUUGGUCGCGUAUUCAGCAGAUGGUAUUGGUCACAUAUUUAUGAACUUGAAACAAGCUUUAUUAGUAUUUAAUCAGUGAGACAUUAACAUGAGCCCUCCUUCCUUCCCCAGGUCUGUUUGCUACUCCUCUCCUGGCAGGUCUACCUGAGAAGGUGCAGUCAUUCCUGGCUCGUCAGGUGCCCUUCCCGUCCCGCCUGGGAGACCCUGCAGAGUUUGCUCACCUGGUGACAUCACUGGCUGAGAACCCCAUGAUCAACGGAGAGGUCAUCAGGCUGGGCCAGAGCCAUCCGCAUGCAGCCCUGAUGGGGAGGGUCUAGUGGGGAGUACAGUUGCAUUUCAGUCACUCUUAUCCAGAGCCACUUAGUGAGUGCAUACAUUUUCAUUGGUACUGGUCCCCCGUGGGAAUCGAGCCCACAACCCUGGCGUUGCCAGUGCCUUGCUCCACCCACUGAGCCACACGGGACAUUUGGACACCAAAUGGAAUGUAACACAUGUACCCCUACUGUAGCUCAAAUUAAUGUUUGUGUGUUUCUGUUGUUCAUAUCCACAGCACUGCAGUACUCCUCUAUGCUCUCUGUGGUUUUGUAACUAAUAAAAAACCUCAUCCUC